This is a non-coding RNA of Phascolarctos cinereus (koala), 2009 nucleotides long. The record is from the annotation of a RefSeq genome assembly. Lineage: Eukaryota; Metazoa; Chordata; Mammalia; Diprotodontia; Phascolarctidae.
UCAGAUCUUCACAGUACUAAGGGAUUGCCGUAGCUCUGGUGCCACCUGCCUGUGGGCCAGGACAUCUGCAUCCGUUUCAGUCUCCCGGGGCCAACUAUUUAUUCAAAGUGGCCUAGUGCUGUUGGCCACUUUUGGCAGGCUGCACCCCAUGUCAGUGGAUGGUUGCCACUCCAAGCUGCAGCUCUGCUGCUGACCCGCUGUCUUGAGACUGCUUCAGAGCCAGACUUUCAGAUUCUGGAGGGGGGCCCCUGGUUUUAAGUGAUCAUCACUCCCCCAGGAGAAGACUGCUCCCAGGUUCUCCUGUGUAUAUAGAUGUAUAGAGGGCAUCUGGGUGCAGGACAGGAGCUAGUUUGGAUCAGCCAGGGCCAUCACUGGUCCACAUCUGUCCACCCAUCAGUCUUCAGAGGCUUUGUGGGUUUGAAGACAACUUUGCAUUUCUUGCCCUUAUGCUUUUGGGUUUCUUCAAUCAUGUGUGCUCGAGUGAGGCCACUGGGUGAUUUAAUAAUAGUAAAAUCAUUUCUGCAAUAACACCACCAAGGUGUUAGAGGUAUCUUCAGAGAUGUGGCUGAGCCAGGAAUGCCUCUCUCUUUUUGGAGUAUUCUGGGCCCAAAAGCUGAGCAGAUGCAGCACAGCCUGACCUGAACCUCAGUCACUGUCAGCAGAGAGCAACGGUGACAGCCAGUGCCCAGACAAAACUGUCCUGGUAGCCAGGCCUCCAAGAAACCAGUUGCCCUGGCCCUCCUGCUCUCCCUUCCUCCCGGCAUGCUUCCCCUGCUGCUCUGUGCACUGCUAGGCAGGCAGCUUGAGAGGAGGGAGGCUGGGGCCUCCAGCUUCUACAGAUCGACUUGCCCCAGUUUCCAGACUCUGGCAGCCCCCAGCCUCUUCCCCACUGUGAGAGUGGAUGAUUCUGCGUGCUUUGCAGCCGAUACUGGAGCACUGGAGCCCAUGAGGGCGCACUUCCUGAGGACUGUGUAGCAAAGAGGACCUUUGGGAUCAAUCCCCAGCGCUCAGCCCAAGGCCCUGGCACCAGGAGUCCAGAUGCAUGGGAACUCAGGGACUUUCUGCAGCCUCUAUCUUUUGGUUCCUUGACAUUAGGUGGCUUUGGGGCUUGGGCCCAGCAGGGGGCGCCGCGGGACUACCCUGGGUGAGUCAUGGUGGGCUAUCACAGCUGAUAACUGUGACACCAACUGCGUCCUGAGUCAGAAGGUGCCCCGGGUGUUCAUGGAUGUCCCAGAGUCACUCCAUGACACACCCCACCCCACCAUAUGUUUCAGACUUUUACUGGAGGGGCCCUGUACUUAGAGAACUAAUAUUUGCAUGAAACAACCCUCCAUCUGCACGGGAAGUGGGGUGGAUAUGAGCAGCGUCAGCCCCAUUGCAGAGCCCUGGGAAGCAGAGCAUCUAUGUCAUGUCUUGGACUCCUCUUCUCCUCAUGCUCUUUACUCUCUGCAAAGGGGCCAGUUCUCAGACCGUGGUGACUCAGGAGCCAUCUCUGAGUGUGAUCCCAGGAGGAACAGUCAGCAUGACCUGCAGCUCCAGCACAGGGGCCGUCACCUCUGGGCACUAUCCCUACUGGUACUUGCAGAAACCCAGCCAGCCUCCCAGGACACUCAUCUAUGAUACCAGCAAUCUUGUAUCAGGGGUCCCUGCCCAGUUCUCAGGGUCCCUCCUUGGGGACAAAGCUGCCCUCACCAUCAAGGGGGCCCAGCCUGAGGAUGAGGCUAUUACUAUAACUUGUGGUACAGUGGUGCUAGGCACAGUGAGAGACUCAGAUAAGGAACUGAGACAAAAACCCGUUAUAACCCAGAAUGGGUCCAGCUGCUGAAGGUAACAGAGCUCUCUAUGGUGCCCAGCUUCCUGGCACAACAAGGGAUAGUUACAUUCUCUCUAAGAUCCUGCUUCCUGGGCUACAUGCACUCCUGGGCCAUGUCUAGGAACAGGACCCCAAGGCUAUGUUCCCAGAGGAGCAGGGUCUACUCCACCUACAGAGCCUUCCUCGAGAUACAUUU